AUACGGGAGGCAGCAGUGGGGAAUCUUGCGCAAUGGGCGAAAGCCUGACGCAGCGACGCCGCGUGGGUGAUGAAGGCCUUCGGGUUGUAAAGCCCUGUGGGGAGGGACGAAUAAGCGCCGGCCAAUACCCGGCGUGAUGACGGUACCUCCUUAGCAAGCACCGGCUAACUCUGUGCCAGCAGCCGCGGUAAGACAGAGGGUGCAAACGUUGUUCGGAAUUACUGGGCGUAAAGCGCGUGUAGGCGGCCGCGCAAGUCGGAUGUGAAAGCCCUCGGCUCAACUGGGGAAGUGCACCCGAAACUGCGUGGCUUGAGUCUCGGAGAGGAUCGUGGAAUUCUCGGUGUAGAGGUGAAAUUCGUAGAUAUCGAGAGGAACACCGGUGGCGAAGGCGGCGAUCUGGACGAUGACUGACGCUGAGACGCGAAAGCGUGGGGAGCAAACAGGAUUAGAUACCCGUGUAC
This 461-nucleotide ribosomal RNA is filed under the name uncultured bacterium. Its description in RNAcentral is "bacterial SSU rRNA". It matches the Rfam family "Bacterial small subunit ribosomal RNA", at positions 339 to 793 of the family's 1533-position model. The record is from RNAcentral.